RNAcentral lists this ribosomal RNA (2785 nucleotides) under Salmonella enterica subsp. enterica serovar Enteritidis. Its description in RNAcentral is "partial 23S ribosomal RNA". It matches the Rfam family "Bacterial large subunit ribosomal RNA". Lineage: Bacteria; Pseudomonadati; Pseudomonadota; Gammaproteobacteria; Enterobacterales; Enterobacteriaceae. The record is from RNAcentral.
GGGUUGUGAGGUUAAGCGACUAAGCGUACACGGUGGAUGCCCUGGCAGUCAGAGGCGAUGAAGGGCGUGCUAAUCUGCGAUAAGCGCCGGUAAGGUGAUAUGAACCGUUAUAACCGGCGAUACCCGAAUGGGGAAACCCAGUGUGACUCGUCACACUAUCAUUAACUGAAUCCAUAGGUUAAUGAGGCGAACCGGGGGAACUGAAACAUCUAAGUACCCCGAGGAAAAGAAAUCAACCGAGAUUCCCCCAGUAGCGGCGAGCGAACGGGGAGGAGCCCAGAGCCUGAAUCAGCAUGUGUGUUAGUGGAAGCGUCUGGAAAGGCGCGCGAUACAGGGUGACAGCCCCGUACACAAAAGCGCAUGUGCUGUGAGCUCGAUGAGUAGGGCGGGACACGUGGUAUCCUGUCUGAAUAUGGGGGGACCAUCCUCCAAGGCUAAAUACUCCUGACUGACCGAUAGUGAACCAGUACCGUGAGGGAAAGGCGAAAAGAACCCCGGCGAGGGGAGUGAAAAAGAACCUGAAACCGUGUACGUACAAGCAGUGGGAGCACCCUUUGGGUGUGACUGCGUACCUUUUGUAUAAUGGGUCAGCGACUUAUAUUCUGUAGCAAGGUUAACCGAAUAGGGGAGCCGGAGGGAAACCGAGUCUUAAUUGGGCGUUAAGUUGCAGGGUAUAGACCCGAAACCCGGUGAUCUAGCCAUGGGCAGGUUGAAGGUUGGGUAACACUAACUGGAGGACCGAACCGACUAAUGUUGAAAAAUUAGCGGAUGACCUGUGGCUGGGGGUGAAAGGCCAAUCAAACCGGGAGAUAGCUGGUUCUCCCCGAAAGCUAUUUAGGUAGCGCCUCGUGAAUUCAUCUCCGGGGGUAGAGCACUGUUUCGGCUAGGGGGCCAUCCCGGCUUACCAACCCGAUGCAAACUGCGAAUACCGGAGAAUGUUAUCACGGGAGACACACGGCGGGUGCUAACGUCCGUCGUGAAGAGGGAAACAACCCAGACCGCCAGCUAAGGUCCCAAAGUCAUGGUUAAGUGGGAAACGAUGUGGGAAGGCCCAGACAGCCAGGAUGUUGGCUUAGAAGCAGCCAUCAUUUAAAGAAAGCGUAAUAGCUCACUGGUCGAGUCGGCCUGCGCGGAAGAUGUAACGGGGCUAAACCAUGCACCGAAGCUGCGGCAGCGACACUGUGUGUUGUUGGGUAGGGGAGCGUUCUGUAAGCCUGCGAAGGUGGCCUGUGAGGGUUGCUGGAGGUAUCAGAAGUGCGAAUGCUGACAUAAGUAACGAUAAAGCGGGUGAAAAGCCCGCUCGCCGGAAGACCAAGGGUUCCUGUCCAACGUUAAUCGGGGCAGGGUGAGUCGACCCCUAAGGCGAGGCCGAAAGGCGUAGUCGAUGGGAAACGGGUUAAUAUUCCCGUACUUGGUGUUACUGCGAAGGGGGGACGGAGAAGGCUAUGUUGGCCGGGCGACGGUUGUCCCGGUUUAAGCGUGUAGGUGUGUGUUCCAGGUAAAUCCGGUUCACUUUAACACUGAGGCGUGACGACGAGGCACUACGGUGCUGAAGCAACAAAUGCCCUGCUUCCAGGAAAAGCCUCUAAGCAUCAGGUAACAUCAAAUCGUACCCCAAACCGACACAGGUGGUCAGGUAGAGAAUACCAAGGCGCUUGAGAGAACUCGGGUGAAGGAACUAGGCAAAAUGGUGCCGUAACUUCGGGAGAAGGCACGCUGACACGUAGGUGAAGUGAUUUACUCAUGGAGCUGAAGUCAGUCGAAGAUACCAGCUGGCUGCAACUGUUUAUUAAAAACACAGCACUGUGCAAACACGAAAGUGGACGUAUACGGUGUGACGCCUGCCCGGUGCCGGAAGGUUAAUUGAUGGGGUCAGCGCAAGCGAAGCUCCUGAUCGAAGCCCCGGUAAACGGCGGCCGUAACUAUAACGGUCCUAAGGUAGCGAAAUUCCUUGUCGGGUAAGUUCCGACCUGCACGAAUGGCGUAAUGAUGGCCAGGCUGUCUCCACCCGAGACUCAGUGAAAUUGAACUCGCUGUGAAGAUGCAGUGUACCCGCGGCAAGACGGAAAGACCCCGUGAACCUUUACUAUAGCUUGACACUGAACAUUGAGCCUUGAUGUGUAGGAUAGGUGGGAGGCUUUGAAGUGUGGACGCCAGUCUGCAUGGAGCCGACCUUGAAAUACCACCCUUUAAUGUUUGAUGUUCUAACGUGGACCCGUUACCCGGGUUGCGGACAGUGUCUGGUGGGUAGUUUGACUGGGGCGGUCUCCUCCUAAAGAGUAACGGAGGAGCACGAAGGUUGGCUAAUCCUGGUCGGACAUCAGGAGGUUAGUGCAAUGGCAUAAGCCAGCUUGACUGCGAGCGUGACGGCGCGAGCAGGUGCGAAAGCAGGUCAUAGUGAUCCGGUGGUUCUGAAUGGAAGGGCCAUCGCUCAACGGAUAAAAGGUACUCCGGGGAUAACAGGCUGAUACCGCCCAAGAGUUCAUAUCGACGGCGGUGUUUGGCACCUCGAUGUCGGCUCAUCACAUCCUGGGGCUGAAGUAGGUCCCAAGGGUAUGGCUGUUCGCCAUUUAAAGUGGUACGCGAGCUGGGUUUAGAACGUCGUGAGACAGUUCGGUCCCUAUCUGCCGUGGGCGCUGGAGAACUGAGGGGGGCUGCUCCUAGUACGAGAGGACCGGAGUGGACGCAUCACUGGUGUUCGGGUUGUCAUGCCAAUGGCACUGCCCGGUAGCUAAAUGCGGAAGAGAUAAGUGCUGAAAGCAUCUAAGCACGAAACUUGCCCCGA